UAGGGAAUAUUGGUCAAUGGCUGCAAGUCCGAACCAGCCAUGCCGCGUGCAGGAAGAAGGCCCUAUGGGUUGUAAACUGCUUUUGUCAGGGGAUAAAAUUUCUUUGCGAAGAAAAUUGAAGGUACCUGGCGAAUAAGCCACGGCUAACUACGUGCCAGCAGCCGCGGUAAUACGUAGGUGGCAAGCGUUGUCCGGAUUUAUUGGGUUUAAAGGGUGCGUAGGCGGUCCUAUAAGUCAGUGCUGAAAUAUCCCGGCUUAACCGGGAGGGUGGCAUUGAUACUGUAGGACUUGAGUAAAGUUGAGGUUGGCGGAAUUGACGGUGUAGCGGUGAAAUGCUUAGAUAUCGUCAAGAACACCUAUUGCGAAGGCAGCUAACUAAGCUUUAACUGACGCUGAGGCACGAAAGUGUGGGGAUCAAACAG
This 422-nucleotide ribosomal RNA is filed under the name uncultured bacterium. Its description in RNAcentral is "bacterial SSU rRNA". It matches the Rfam family "Bacterial small subunit ribosomal RNA", at positions 355 to 775 of the family's 1533-position model. The record is from RNAcentral.